Molecule: ribosomal RNA, 216 nt
Filed under: uncultured prokaryote
Description: partial 16S ribosomal RNA
Rfam family: Bacterial small subunit ribosomal RNA
Source: RNAcentral
UACGGAGGGUGCAAGCGUUAUCCGGAUUCACUGGGUUUAAAGGGUGCGUAGGUGGGCAGGUAAGUCCGUGGUGAAAUCUCUGAGCUUAACUCAGAAACUGCCGUGGAUACUAUUUGUCUUGAAUAUUGAGGAGGUGAGCAGAAUAUGUCAUGUAGCGGUGAAAUGCUUAGAUAUGACAUAGAACACCAAUUGCGAAGGCAGCUCACUACACAAUGA